GACGUAGGAGGCGAGCGUUGUUCGGAAUUACUGGGCGUAAAGCGCGCGUAGGCGGCUUUGCAAGUCAGAGGUGAAAGCCUGGAGCUCAACUCCAGAACUGCCUUUGAAACUGCAUCGCUUGAAUCAUGGAGAGGUUAGUGGAAUUCCGAGUGUAGAGGUGAAAUUCGUAGAUAUUCGGAAGAACACCAGUGGCGAAGGCGACUAACUGGACAUGUAUUGACGCUGAGGUGCGAAAGCGUGGGGAGCAAACAGG
This 253-nucleotide ribosomal RNA is filed under the name uncultured bacterium. RNAcentral's name for it is "partial 16S ribosomal RNA". It matches the Rfam family "Bacterial small subunit ribosomal RNA", at positions 524 to 776 of the family's 1533-position model. The record is from RNAcentral.